AAAAGCGGAGGAAAAGAAACCAACAGGGAUUGCCUCAGUAACGGCGAGUGAAGCGGCAAAAGCUCAAAUUUGAAAUCUGGCAGCCUCGCUGUCCGAGUUGUAAUUUGAAGAUUUCUCUUUGUGAGAGGCGCCUUGUCUAUGUUCCUUGGAACAGGACGUCGCAGAGGGUGAGAAUCCCGUGUGAUGAGGCCGCCGAUCCGUGUAAAGAGUCAUCGACGAGUCGAGUUGUUUGGGAAUGCAGCUCUAAGUGGGUGGUAAACUCCAUCUAAAGCUAAAUAUUGGCGAGAGACCGAUAGCGAACAAGUACAGUGAUGGAAAGAUGAAAAGAACUUUGAAAAGAGAGUGAAAAAGUACGUGAAAUUGUUGAAAGGGAAGGUUAUUAGAUCAGACUUGGCGGCGCGCCAUACCUGUCCUCUUGUAGGGCGGACACUGGCGCGUGUUUGCUGGGCCAGCAUCGAUUCGGGCGGCGGGACAUGGUCCUGUGGGAUGUGGCUGUUUUAACACAGUGUUAUAACCACGGGUCUCUGCCGCCUGCCUGGAUCGAGGACUGCGUCUGUUACAGACUAGGAUGCUGCGUAGACAGGUU
This 586-nucleotide ribosomal RNA is filed under the name Komagataea norvegica. Its description in RNAcentral is "eukaryotic LSU rRNA". It matches the Rfam family "Eukaryotic large subunit ribosomal RNA", at positions 46 to 640 of the family's 3401-position model. Lineage: Eukaryota; Fungi; Ascomycota; Saccharomycetes; Phaffomycetales; Wickerhamomycetaceae. The record is from RNAcentral.